This is a non-coding RNA of Sturnus vulgaris (Common starling), 287 nucleotides long. The record is from RefSeq and is a predicted model, not a curated record. NCBI's taxonomy places the organism in Eukaryota, Metazoa, Chordata, Aves, Passeriformes, Sturnidae.
GCCCAGGAGGCUUCUUGUGGCUCGGAAGUUGCCCUGGACACCUGCUUCCUUCAUCCCAGAGGAGGACUAGACCUGUCCAUGGUCCCUCCUACCUGACCCCUGAAAAAAACACUGGUGCUACAGACCACGAACCAAGUACCUUAGUGCAGGAGCAACUCACAUGAAGUCAGGAACUUUCGUCUGAGCAGCAGCUGGAGCAAAUGUGUAGUCCGCAUGAAAUGUGUCUUGUCUGGCUGGCAUAAAAUAAAGCUGGUGAUGAAAGCUGAAUGACAACUUCUGUUGUCUCU